UUGGAGGGCAAGUCUGGUGCCAGCAGCCGCGGUAAUUCCAGCUCCAAUAGCGUAUAUUAAAGUUGUUGCAGUUAAAAAGCUCGUAGUUGAACCUCGGGGUCUACCCAUUGGUCAGGCUUAAUUGUCUGCACUGGUGAGAUGGAUCUCUACCUUCUGAGGAACUUUCAUGCCAUUCAUUUGGUGUGAUGGGAAAUCAGGACUGUUACUUUGAAAAAAUUAGAGUGUUUAAAGCAGACUAUCGUCUGAAUACAUUAGCAUGGAAUAAUGAAAUAGGACGGACUGAUUCUAUUUCGUUGGUUUCUAGGAUCACCGUAAUGAUUAAUAGGGAUAGUUGGGGGCAUUAGUAUUCAAUUGUCAGAGGUGAAAUUCUUGGAUUUAUUGAAGACUAACUACUGCGAAAGCAUUUGCCAAGGAUGUUUUCAUUAAUCAAGAACGAAAGUUAGGGGAUCGAAGACAAUCAGAUACCGUCGUAGUCUUAACCAUAAACUAUGCCGACUAGGGAUCGGACGAAGUUAAUUUUAUAAUGACGCGUUCGGCGCCUUACGGGAAAC
This 551-nucleotide ribosomal RNA is filed under the name uncultured Diversisporaceae. Its description in RNAcentral is "SSU rRNA". It matches the Rfam family "Eukaryotic small subunit ribosomal RNA", at positions 548 to 1098 of the family's 1831-position model. The record is from RNAcentral. Lineage: Eukaryota; Fungi; Glomeromycota; Glomeromycetes; Diversisporales.